GAUGUGAUCGUGUUCAUCUUCGUCUGCACUUGUGCCAGGGCUUGUCUGGCUCUCUGGAACAGAUACUGUUCAUCAUGGGGAGACAUGGGGGAAAUCCCACACGCUGUUCUACAGGCAUUGUUGGAUGCGACCACUCAGGACUUCCAACCAGUAGAGUAUGAAACUCAAUCAAUGAACCUGCAUGGGGUCCUGGCCCAUAACCUGCUCUCUAAAUCAGACUGUACAGCAGCUUAUGAACAAAAUCUCACUCUGUAACAGAAUUCGUUGGUUGUUAGAUGAGAUUGGCAGUCUUACAACUCAAAAUGUCAUGUGUUCACUGGUGAUGGAUCAGUGCAAGACACACAGGUAAUCGACUUACUUUCACAUAAUUGGCUUGUGUAACUGUGUUUGACAAGAGAGAGAGUACACCAUUUGUCCUAUCUAGUAAGCAUAGUCAAUUUUGCUCCCUAGGUCACAAAUGUCAAGUGUGCCAUUUUUGGAAUGCAAGCUUGUAUUCCCCUGAUGACAGGAUAAAUAUUUUUCUGUUUAAUCUCGUAUAUCUAGUAUUGGUGAGUAAGUAAAUACCAUGCUGCAAACCUUUUUUUAACCUACAGAUAUCUUGAAUAUACUGUAGGCAUAUAAUCUUUACUGUAUCAUUAUACGAGUGUUAUAAAUAUUAUAGAGCAGCACUGUUGAUUCUAAUUGAUCAGAUGGUGUUGGGUAAUUUUCUAUAGCAGCAUUUCUGCCAGAACUGUAAUUGCAAAAUAUAGCUUUAUAUUAAUGCACUUGCUGUAAUAUGCCUUUUUGUUUUUUACCGUUAAAGCUUAAAUAGAAGUGAAUUGAAUAGCAAUUUAUCUGCAAAAUUCAAGUCUAAUAAUCAUAUUUGCAGCGUGAGUAUAGAGGUUUGGGCUCAUUCAGCCACAAAAGCGUUAUCAAAGUCUUAGGUAGUGGCUUAGGCUGAGGAGGCCUGGGGUUAAGUCAGUGUUUUAAUUAAUCCUAAAGGUGUUUGCUAAGGUCACAGCUCUAUAGCAGGCCCCUUAAGAUCAUCCACCCCAUUUCUUCAUGAAGGUGCUAGAACAGGUUUAAGUCUCCUGGUCCAAGUGAAGGGAAAUUUGAAUGCUAUUGAAUGCAACUGCAAAGCCUAUACAACUG
Silurus meridionalis is the source of this 1131-nucleotide long non-coding RNA. RefSeq lists it as uncharacterized. The transcript has 3 exons. Lineage: Eukaryota; Metazoa; Chordata; Actinopteri; Siluriformes; Siluridae. The record is from RefSeq and is a predicted model, not a curated record.